GACGAACGCUGGCGGCGUGCUUAACACAUGCAAGUCGAACGGAAAGGCCCUGCUUUUGUGGGGUGCUCGAGUGGCGAACGGGUGAGUAACACGUGAGUAACCUGCCCUUGACUUUGGGAUAACUUCAGGAAACUGGGGCUAAUACCGGAUAGGAGCUCCUGCUGCAUGGUGGGGGUUGGAAAGUUUCGGCGGUUGGGGAUGGACUCGCGGCUUAUCAGCUUGUUGGUGGGGUAGUGGCUUACCAAGGCUUUGACGGGUAGCCGGCCUGAGAGGGUGACCGGCCACAUUGGAACUGAGAUACGGCCCAGACUCCUACGGGAGGCAGCAGUGGGGAAUAGUGCACAAUGGGCGGAAGCCUGAUGCAGCAACGCCGCGUGCGGGAUGACGGCCUUCGGGUUGUAAACCGCUUUCGCCUGUGACGAAGCGUGAGUGACGGUAAUGGGUAAAGAAGCACCGGCUAACUACGU
This 467-nucleotide ribosomal RNA is filed under the name uncultured bacterium. RNAcentral's name for it is "partial 16S ribosomal RNA". It matches the Rfam family "Bacterial small subunit ribosomal RNA", at positions 28 to 506 of the family's 1533-position model. The record is from RNAcentral.